Molecule: transfer RNA, 96 nt
Filed under: Leptospira wolffii serovar Khorat str. Khorat-H2
Lineage: Bacteria; Pseudomonadati; Spirochaetota; Leptospiria; Leptospirales; Leptospiraceae
Description: tRNA-Thr
Source: RNAcentral
UAAAAAUUGGAAUCCUAAGGAGAGUUCCAUUCUUCUCGUGGGAGAAUGGGAGAUCUUUCCUUCCCAAUUUACAGCGUCCGAAUCUUUGGAUUUUAA